This 440-nucleotide ribosomal RNA is filed under the name uncultured bacterium. RNAcentral's name for it is "partial 16S ribosomal RNA". It matches the Rfam family "Bacterial small subunit ribosomal RNA", at positions 338 to 795 of the family's 1533-position model. The record is from RNAcentral.
CCUACGGGUGGCAGCAGUAGGGAAUAUUUCUCAAUGGGGGAAACCCUGAAGCAGCAACGCCGCGUGGAGGAUGGAGGUUUUAGGAUUGUAAACUCCUUUUGUUAUAGAAGAUAAUUACGGUAUCUCACGAAUAAGCCCCGGCUAACUCCGUGCCAGCAGCCGCGGUAAUACGGAGGUGGCAAGCGUUACCCGGAAUCGCAGGGCGUAAAGAGAGCGCAGGCGGGCUUGUAAGUCAGAUGUGAAAGCCUGUAGCUUAACUACAGAACUGCAUUUGAAACUAUGAGUCUAGAGUGUGGGAGAGGUAGGUGGAAUUCUUGGUGGAGGAGUAAAAUCCGUAGAUAUCAAGAGGAAUACUCAGUGCGAAGGCGACUUACUGGAACAUAACUGACGCUCAUGCACGAAAGCGAGGGGAGCAAACAGGAUUAGAUACCCCGGUAGUC